RNAcentral lists this ribosomal RNA (251 nucleotides) under uncultured prokaryote. RNAcentral's name for it is "partial 16S ribosomal RNA". It matches the Rfam family "Bacterial small subunit ribosomal RNA", at positions 525 to 775 of the family's 1533-position model. The record is from RNAcentral.
ACGUAGGGUGCGAGCGUUAAUCGGAAUUACUGGGCGUAGAGCGCACGCAGGCGGUUUGUUAAGUCAGAUGUGAAAUCCCCGGGCUCAACCUGGGAACUGCGUUUGUGACUGUAGGGCUUGAGUGCGGCAGAGGGGGGUGGAAUUCCACGUGUAGCAGUGAAAUGCGUAGAGGUGUGGCGGAACACCGAUGGCGAAGGCAGCCCCCUGGGUCGACACUGACGCUCAUGCACGAAAGCGUGGGGAGCAAACAG